Molecule: long non-coding RNA, 246 nt
Filed under: Lathyrus oleraceus (garden pea)
Lineage: Eukaryota; Viridiplantae; Streptophyta; Magnoliopsida; Fabales; Fabaceae
Description: Pisum sativum (pea) long non-coding RNA (PSAT_LNC013939)
Source: RNAcentral
UGAGAUGGAAGAUGUCCUUGGAUCCGUAGGUAGUGGACAUGAUGAGGAGGAGUGAAGACUUUUAAUUGGAGUAGUAGUAGAUUUUUAUUUUGAGUUUUAUUUUUAUUUAUUUAUAUUAUUAUUAUUGUUUUUUUUAAUUAUGAUUGUACUUUUGGUGGCUCUUGUUUCACCAUAAACUUUGGUUUGUUAAUUGCAUGGAUCUUUUGUGAGAUUUUAUUUUGUGUUGCAAUGAACAAUGGUUUGCCC